AAACUUAAAGGAAUUGACGGGGACCCGCACAAGCGGUGGAUGAUGUGGUUUAAUUCGAUGCAACGCGAAAAACCUUACCUACCCUUGACAUGUCUAGAAGUUUCCAGAGAUGGAUUCGUGCUCGAAAGAGAACUAGAACACAGGUGCUGCAUGGCCGUCGUCAGCUCGUGUCGUGAGAUGUUGGGUUAAGUCCCGCAACGAGCGCAACCCUUAUCAUUAGUUGCUACGCAAGGGCACUCUAAUGAGACUGCCGGUGACAAACCGGAGGAAGGUGGGGAUGACGUCAGGUCAUCAUGGCCCUUAUGGGUAGGGCUACACACGUCAUACAAUGGCCGGUACAGAGGGCUGCCAACCCGCGAGGGGAGCUAAUCUCAGAAACCGGUCGUAGUCCGGAUCGCAGUCUGCAACUCGACUGCGUGAAGUCGGAAUCGCUAGUAAUCGCGGAUCAGCUUGCCCGCGGUGAAUACGUUCCCGGGU
Molecule: ribosomal RNA, 477 nt
Filed under: uncultured Comamonadaceae bacterium
Lineage: Bacteria; Pseudomonadati; Pseudomonadota; Betaproteobacteria; Burkholderiales; Comamonadaceae
Description: bacterial SSU rRNA
Rfam family: Bacterial small subunit ribosomal RNA
Source: RNAcentral